This 412-nucleotide long non-coding RNA is filed under the name Mytilus galloprovincialis (Mediterranean mussel). The record is from RNAcentral. Lineage: Eukaryota; Metazoa; Mollusca; Bivalvia; Mytilida; Mytilidae.
CAAAUACGGCUAAAAAUAAAACAUAAGGAUCUUAUAUCUCUAUUGCGUUAAUUUAGCCGACAUUACCCGUGACGAAGCUCUGGUUCUUCUUCCAGAAGCUGUUUGAAUGUACGUUUCCAAGAGGAACAUAUGUAUUGUUAAAAAUUUUCUGCUCACAAAAGGUAGAAAAUUCUAAAAUUUGUCUCAGCAUUGGCCAACAAAAAAUAUUCUGUUUCUUUUAAUGUAUUUAAAGAAAAAAAUAAACCAAAAAGUUGCUUGAAAUACAAAAUGUACUCCAACCAUAUUCCAAGAAGUGCUUUAGUUAGACAAUUAUAUCUACAAUUUUUACAUAUUAUCAGAUUUGCUUUAUAUAAACUUAAAAAAUAUUUUCUUUCUGCGAUUAAUCAUCAAUAUGGAAAGAAACAAUCAAAGC